Molecule: transfer RNA, 66 nt
Filed under: Archetypus frenchi
Lineage: Eukaryota; Metazoa; Arthropoda; Insecta; Coleoptera; Cerambycidae
Description: tRNA-His
Rfam family: tRNA
About the family: Transfer RNA (tRNA) molecules are approximately 80 nucleotides in length.
Source: RNAcentral
AUUCAAAUAGUUUAGUUAAAAACAUUGGCUUGUGGAGCUGAAAAAAUAAAGAAUUUAUUUUGGAUA